GUUGGGUGUGGUGGUCUGUGCCUGUAAUCCCCAGCUACCUGGGAGCUGAGAGAGGAGGAUUGUGAGUUCAAGGUCAGCCUGGGUACACAGAAAGAUCCUGUCUCAA
This 106-nucleotide small RNA is filed under the name Marmota monax (woodchuck). Lineage: Eukaryota; Metazoa; Chordata; Mammalia; Rodentia; Sciuridae. The record is from RNAcentral.